RNAcentral lists this ribosomal RNA (439 nucleotides) under uncultured bacterium. RNAcentral describes it as "bacterial SSU rRNA". It matches the Rfam family "Bacterial small subunit ribosomal RNA", at positions 954 to 1392 of the family's 1533-position model. The record is from RNAcentral.
GCACAACGCGAAGAACCUUACCAAGGCUUGACAUGUAGAAGAACACCGCAGAGAUGCGGGACUCUUUGGACACUUCUAUACAGGUGGUGCAUGGUUGUCGUCAGCUCGUGUCGUGAGAUGUUCGGUUAAGUCCGGCAACGAGCGCAACCCUCGUCCUAUGUUGCCAGCACGUUAUGGUGGGAACUCAUGGGAUACUGCCGUGGUCAACACGGAGGAAGGUGGGGAUGACGUCAAAUCAUCAUGCCCCUUAUGUCUUGAGCUUCACGCAUGCUACAAUGGCCGGUACAAAGGGCUGCGAUACCGUAAGGUGGAGCGAAUCCCAAAAAGCCGGUCUCAGUUCGGAUUGGGGUCUGCAACUCGACCCCAUGAAGUCGGAGUCGCUAGUAAUCGCAGAUCAGCAACGCUGCGGUGAAUACGUUCCCGGGUCUUGUACACACCG